GAUAAACGCUGGCGGCGUGCUUCAGGCAUGCAAGUCGAACGGACUAUAGGACUUCGGGUCCUGUAGUUAGUGGCGGACGGGUGAGUAACACGUAAGUAACCUGCCCAGAAGUGGGGAAUAACUAGCCGAAAGGCUGGCUAAUACCGCAUGUGAUGGUCCUUCCCUGGAGGGAUCAUUAAAGGCUUCGGUCGCUUCUGGAGGGGCUUGCGGCUGAUUAGCUU
Molecule: ribosomal RNA, 221 nt
Filed under: uncultured bacterium
Lineage: Bacteria
Description: partial 16S ribosomal RNA
Rfam family: Bacterial small subunit ribosomal RNA
Source: RNAcentral